Vicia villosa (hairy vetch) is the source of this 3192-nucleotide long non-coding RNA. RefSeq lists it as uncharacterized. The transcript is spliced from 4 exons. The record is from RefSeq and is a predicted model, not a curated record. NCBI's taxonomy places the organism in Eukaryota, Viridiplantae, Streptophyta, Magnoliopsida, Fabales, Fabaceae.
GCUUUGCAAUAGACUCAAAUUUGUUGAAGUAACCAUGCUGUUUGAUUUUGAUAUCAUAGGAUCAAUUUAUUUUCAUUCUCACAAUUAGGAUAUGAAAUUAAUGUUUUUGUUAAUCUUAAACUAUGAUAUAUUACACUAAUUAAGGGUUUGUUGGUUUCAAUAUGUAGUUGUGGAUGUUACCAAGAUAUCAAUGUGGUGAAGGAGUAACUACUAAUUGUAAGGAUAUUUCUUGUGGGCUUAGAGGUGUCAUAUCUGUGUGUAGGUUUACUUUUGGCUCCUACCGAUUUGUAGGAUUAUUCUAGAUUUCAAUCAUGUAUGUGUUGAAUAUCAUUAGUAUUAAUGUCACUAGUGAACAUGACUGCAAGUUUUUCUCUAUUUGAGAUUUCGAGCCACUAUGUCAUUUCCACUGUCUAUUUGACAUAUAUCUAACACAAAGUAUUUCUUCUCAACGCCAUUUAGGGACGGGAUUCUAUUCUAUGAUGUUUGCUGCUUACUUUCAUUGAUUUUGUAAUGGGUAUGUGAUGGUUAAUUUGUAGCUUCUCCCUUUAGUUAUUUGAAUUGAAAUAGAAAUUUUAUUAUCGAAUAGAUGCUAGAUAGCAAUUGAAUCAUGAAGUUCCUGAAAAAUUGUUGAAUAUGUUUCUAUUUCUUAUUUCCAAAGAAUGAUUACUCUCUUGUAUGAUGUAAUAUGUCAAGGAGUCAUUUAUGUUAUCAUCUAUAUAUUUUGAAUCAAAUAACACAUUUGAAAUGUAAUCUAUCAAGGAUAUGAUGAGUUUAUUUUAUCAUGAACAUAGAGGUACUAAGCUAGACUAUUUAAGCUGAAGAAAACAUUAGUGGUUUAACUAAAAGGAUAUUUUUUGGUUAAACGGUGAUGAUUUGUUGGAUGAUUUUCAGGUUUUAUGUUAAGAUAACAUCUGCAAUAGCUGAGGAAACACAUAUGCCUUUUUAUCAAUUCUUGGCAUCUAGCAUCACAUGCAAAAAAAAAUUGGCUUGUAAUGUGCUCAUAUUAUCGCUACAUCAUUGUUGUUGUGUUGUUAUAUUUUGUUGCUACAGGUUGUGGUUGACGAAUUGAUGGAGAAUUGGUGCCAAAUUUAUCGUUUCACGCUAUGCCCACCAAGUGUUCGGUAAAAGUUCUGAACCGAGAUUCUUCUUCCUUUAUCUUACAUUAUUUUGUAAAUUUAUUCGGUUUUAGCUUAUGUAUUGUGAAAGAGACCAUUGCCACAACUAUUCUAAUUGUUGUCAUCUGACUUGGAGAUCGUAGGUUUAAGCCUUGGUCUCGUGUAUUCAGUAUCUUGCUUAUGCAAAGAUAACAAUAUGGCCAUAUAUUUUCUGAUUGUAAACCAUUCUUUAACAUGCUAUUGAGUUCAUAGAAGAUACUUGAAAAAAGUGAAUCAUGUCCCAAAAAUUGACAGCACCCCUUUAUAGCUUGUGAACAUGACACUGCAGCCAGGUGUGAGGGUCCGUAAACCUGCACCUACCAAAGGUCAACCAGCCGUUGCUGCUACAGAACCACAGGAAUUUCUAUUUGUGAGCUCGAAAUGUAAGAGGUAUUUCCACAACCGUUUGAAGCCUUCAAAGCUCACAUGGAAUGCCAUGUACAGAAAGCAACACAAGAAGGACAUUGCCUAAGGGGCUGUGAAGAAAAGAGGCGUUGCGCCACCAAGAAGCUCCAUUUUUGGUGCUACCCUGAAAGUCAUUCUGGAGAAAAGAGCUGAGAAGCUCGAAGUCUGAGAUGCAGCCAUGUUGCUACCGCGAAAAUCAACAAAAUCGCCACUAACAUAUUUAUCCUGAAAAGGAAGAGAAUGCCAGCAAACCACGAAACAAAACAACGGUCUCACGACCAGAGAAGAGGGUAAGGGAGUCGGUUGCGCGAGGGGAAGGUAUUAGCACCCCUCGCGCCCAUCGUACUCGAUGGUAUCCACGCUUGUGUCUAAGACUAUGGGUGUGUAACAAAUCUACGCCUAAACUGAACUAGUAUGCAUGCAAAAUGUAGGGAAAAGAAAGAGUUAUACUCGCACGGGCCCUACCCCGCUGUCUACGUAUCCUUUUUGAGGAAUCAGAGGUACCAUAGCUCGGCUAACUAGUUUCUGUUUGUUUUGUGUUUUUUUAGGUGAACGAGUUACAUUCACACUCCGCUGCUCGACCUUUGGAGUCUUACGCUUGGGAAUGAAGCGGAAAUAACAAGCUCUUAAGAAAAUAAAAUCAAAAAGUAUGGUUUGUGUUUUAAAAGAUGCAUGAGGAAAACCUAAGCUAAGGGGGAAAGCUUGCUACCUAUGUUAUCAUACAAAGGGUACAAGACUAAACUAAACUAGCAACCUAUGGGAAAAAGCGAAUGCAAACAAAAGUAUCACACAAAUGAGUCUCGCUCGUAAAACAAACACCUACUAGCGCGGGCCAAGUAGUAGAAAAACGGUCCCUCUAUAGCCAAGGGGAGCGUAUCACCAGAGUCAACCAAGCAUUAGACCUUGCGCAAAAAGAUAUCGGGCCAUAGACAAAAGGAGCGAAUCUCUCUCAGCAACCAAGCUGUCACAGAUCUAAAAGGAAAAUGGUGCGUGCGUACACCGAGCAUCAACAUCGGUCAACAUGAGCUAAGAAACGUGGGGGUUCGAUUGCAUGAACCCGCUUCACUUUACCCAUUGGGCCUUCGACUCGACGAUCUUGGGGAGUUGUCCAGAACUCUGAACUUGCAAAAAGUGAGCAUAUGGACGAUCUGGGGACUGAAAGUUGCGGGGGUUGAUUGCUAACCCUAUUCUCUUGCCUUCUCGAGGACUUACAAUGGCCUUUGUUAGGACUUCCUGCAAGCACAAACGUAAACACACCAACAAAAACAGAGCCUCUUUCGAGGGCUUGUCCAGAUGCGAUGCAUGUCUAAGUUCUACUUCUCAUGUUAAAGGAUGAAAUAAAGCGAUAACAUGUGAGAAAAGGUAAAAUGAAACGAGAUCAAUACCAAACGGAUUAUGAUCCAUAAACUGCAGCAAAAUAAGAAAGAAAACCAGAGAUCCCGCAAGCGAACUAGCAAAGGCAACAGCAAAUAGUCAGCACACCAAUUAGCCACAUAAGCAAACAAGGGUUGACAUCGUGAAAAUAAAUCACGCGUCAACGUACGUAUCGAGCAUAAUCACAAUACACCUGCAAGAGAAACAAGCAAUCCAGACAAACAUGUAUAAAGUGAAACACAUGUCUCCAAGAUGAGAA